AUUGAACGCUGGCGGCAGGCCUAACACAUGCAAGUCGAGCGGAUGAAGGGAGCUUGCUCCUGGAUUCAGCGGCGGACGGGUGAGUAAUGCCUAGGAAUCAGCCUGGUAGUGGGGGAUAACGUCCGGAAACGGGCGCUAAUACCGCAUACGUCCUGAGGGAGAAAGUGGGGGAUCUUCGGACCUCACGCUAUCAGAUGAGCCUAGGUCGGAUUAGCUAGUUGGUGGGGUAAAGGCCUACCAAGGCGACGAUCCGUAACUGGUCUGAGUGGAUGAUCAGUCACACUGGAAGUGGACCACGGUCCAGACUCCUACGGGAGGCAGCAGUGGGGAAUAUUGGACAAUGGGCGAAAGCCUGAUCCAGCCAUCCCGCGUGUGUGAAGAAGGUCUUCGGAUUGUAAAGCCCUUUAAGUUGGGAGGAAGGGCAGUAAGUUAAUACCUUGCUGUUGUGACGUUACCAACAGAAUAAGCACCGGCUAACUUCGUG
RNAcentral lists this ribosomal RNA (484 nucleotides) under uncultured bacterium. RNAcentral's name for it is "partial 16S ribosomal RNA". It matches the Rfam family "Bacterial small subunit ribosomal RNA", at positions 30 to 507 of the family's 1533-position model. The record is from RNAcentral.